This 871-nucleotide ribosomal RNA is filed under the name uncultured crenarchaeote. RNAcentral's name for it is "bacterial SSU rRNA". It matches the Rfam family "Archaeal small subunit ribosomal RNA", at positions 1 to 879 of the family's 1478-position model. The record is from RNAcentral. Lineage: Archaea; Thermoproteati; Thermoproteota.
UUCCGGUUGAUCCCGCCAGACCUGACUGCUAUCGGAUUGGUACUAAGCCAUGUGAGUCGUUGUAGCAAUACAAGGCAUACGGCUCAGUAACACGUAGUCAAUCUAACCUAUGGACGGGGAUAACCUCGGGAAACUGAGGAUAAAACCCGAUAGAUCAUAAUGCCUGGAACGGUUUAUGGUUCAAAUGAUUCGUCGCCGUAGGGUGGGACUGCGGCCUAUCAGCUUGUUGGUGAGGUAAUGGCCCACCAAGGCUAUUACAGGUACGGGCUCUGAGGGGAGAAGCCCGGAGAUGGGUACUGAGACACGGACCCAGGCCCUAUGGGGCGCAGCAGGCGAGAAACCUUUGCAAUGUGCGCAAGCACGACAAGGUUAAUCCGAGUGUUUCCUGUUAAAGGAAUCUUUUGUUAGUCGUAAAACCACUAUUGAAUAAGGGGUGGGCAAGUUCUGGUGUCAGCCGCCGCGGUAAAACCAGCACCUCAAGUGGUCAGGAUGAUUAUUGGGCCUAAAGCAUCCGUAGCCUGCUCUGUAAGUUUUCGGUUAAAUCUGUAUGCUCAACAUACAGGCCGCCGGGAAUACUGCAGAGCUAGGGAGUGGGAGAGGUAGACGGUACUCGGGAGGAAGUGGUAAAAUGCUUUGAUCUCUCGAUGACCACCUGUGGCGAAGGCGGUCUACCAGAACACGUCCGACGGUGAGGGAUGAAAGCUGGGGGAGCAAACCGGAUUAGAUACCCGGGUAGUCCCAGCCGUAAACUAUGCAAACUCAGUGAUGCAUUGGCUUGUGGCCAAUGCAGUGUUGCAGGGAAGCCGUUAAGUUUGCCGCCUGGGAAGUACGUACGCAAGUAUGAAACUUAAAGGAAUUGGCGGGGGAGCAC